UGGAAAGUUAUCUAGGAAAUCUCAGCAGAUGAGAAAAAAAUCAAUUUUGAUUUUGAAAAAAAUAUGGCUACACACUUCCUAAUGGAGGAAAAAGCAAGUAGCAGUAAUAGCAAUUGCGUCUUGUGGUAAUAACAAGUCCCAUAGUCCCAUGCAUUCUACCCCCUUUGUCUUGGAGCAGCAAAAGACAUGCUGUCUUUUGCAUGGGAAUCUGAGAGGAGAAAUGCACAUUUACUGUUUAGUUUCCUGUCACUUCUUCAUUUUCUUGGAGAAAAAAGCCAUUGGUGAGUACAAUGCAAAGAAUGUGGAUAAAUACGGAAAGAGAGAUUAGGAUGAUCACAGGGAGUUCUCUUUGCAAGGGGAGCUGUGAGGGAGAAGUUACACAAAUUUAGAUAGAGUAAAUCUGUUAUAAAAAUUGUGGUGGGGUUCAGCUCAAGACAUAGUCAAGGGAGAGCUUAUCAGAGCAGUCACAUUUUAGGUCAUGGUGCAGUUGAGCAGCUGAACAAAACUAGUUCAGGUUAAGUUACUUUGCUGUCCAGGCUCCACUGCCCAGACUGCAAGCUUAGACACCUGGCUCAUGUAUGUCUGCAUUUUUUCGGUCUUCGUAAGCGGAGACUUAUGCUGUAUGCCUUCUAAAAUUUGAGAUUAAUUGCUACCCACUAUUUUGGUCUUCCUUCCCCCAGCACAGCAUCAUCGUACUGACAGGUCUUCAUCGCUCGCCAGCCUCAUACGCAGCUUCCACCUCCACAUCCUGCCCUCUAACCCAGGGGCUCAAUAAAAACUCAGGCCUGGUCACUUGGCUUCUGUACGGGUUAUACUGCUGGUGUGAUUGUGUCCUACCUAGCUAUAAUUAUUCUUUGCUGUGAGGGCCUGUUGUUUCUUAUGGUAGGCUGACUUUGAAGUUUGACUUUAGAUGUGCCUCGUAAUCUUGAGCUUUUCUGAAGAGUUGGACUCCGGGCAUGACUACCACCUCCCGGUUUGCGUUGCUUGCCUUGUUCAGAUACUGCUGGGCUGGAUCUUGGUUGGGGAGCCUCUUCCCUGCCGGGCAUGCUGCCACGCUCUGCUGCUGGCUGCCUGUCCUUAGGGAGCAGCCACCUCUUACUGCUACCUGACAGCCAUCGUGUCUGUAUCAUCCUGUCUUCUGUGUCCUUUGCAGGCAUCUUUUUCCCCAUGCAUUUCAUACAUCUCUAUAGGUUUUCUCCCUUUCCAAAUGUCAUACCUAUUCUACCUGGAUGCUGUCGUUAUCACCCACCAUUUCAAACACUCAACUGAACUUUGAAACACUAUCCUGCUCCUCCGUGCAUUUAUGCUGUUUUGGUUGAUCUUGCCUACUGCACGGGAACUGUUGAGUCAUGGCCUGAACCACUGAUUGAUCACCUGAGGAAAGGACCGAGUCAGCAAUGGGAGCACAGGUGAAGGCAAUUCAGCUGUGGGACAGGAAAUGUGGAGCCUGACCGCAGCUCUCCUACACCCCAUUUAAGGGCUGACCCCUUCUGGGGAAGGGUUUCUUUCUGGAGAUCCCUCCUCUGAAGUCUUUCCUGCAAACCUAGAUCUUCAGCUACAGGUGAUGAAAGAGCUGGUAUCAAUGGGACAGAAGCGUGCAGCAAAGCCGAAGAUGGCUUGGAAUGAUUAACAGAGCUACGUGAAACAGCUGAGCAACUCUCAGUAGAAACAGCAGUAACAGCUUCCAUUCCUGGCUCUGAGAUUCCGUCCGGGCCACCCAAGGCUUGUCAGUAUCCACUGAGAGAACGGGCGGCACUGCGGGCUCGCGUCACUCCGAUCGGAGCAGCUGUUUCCGCGGUCUCUGCUGCCACUGCGUGGUCAAGCUGAGGAAGUGCGGCCGCCUAUGUUUGGUGCCGCAGGCAGCAGGACGCAUGCGCACCGCCGUGGCGCGUGUAUGUUCUCGUCGCUCUGCGCAGCUAAUCCACCAGUCUUCCGCUUAGACCUCUAGGCAGUAGUGCGCAUGCGCCAGAAGACCAAUAGGACGCGUUUGUGCCACCCGCGAGGGUGCAGGUGAGCGGUCGGUUCUUGGACAGCCGGCUCAGCAGUGCUCCCCCUGCUUCCAACCCAGGAUGCCCCUUGCCUAUUUCCUUGUGUGAGAAAUGCUUAAAGUUAAAGAUUCCUUGUUAGAUAAAGAUCAUAGUGAUAGCAGCAAAGAUUAUUCAUUAUUGCAGUAACGGGUGGAAAGACUGGAAACUUCACUGCAAAAACACAAUCCGCCUCUCACAUCUGUGCAAUCUUGCAGACCCAGAGCAUCCAGGGUAGUUUCUGCUUUUGUAGUAUUUGCGUGCUGCAAGGUGAGCAAAAGGUUUUACUGCUUGAUUGUUCUUCUCCAGGUGCUGGCUGCAAGAAUUGAGGAUGCGAUAGGAAGCAUUUGUCUCCAUGGCAACAUAGUUACACUCAGUCCAGAAAGCGUGAAAGUCAGGUUGAGGUGGCAAAGCACUGACUUGCUGGGGAUGAUGCAGUACUCAAAUGGUUAAAACUCACAGACGUUACUGUACGAGGAAUGGUGCUGUAUUGCGCUCCUGCCUUCAGCAGCCCCUGGAGAAAUGCUGUGUUGGAUGCAGCACCUUUAUGUUACCCUGACUGCUGCUGUGCUACACCCAAAACUCAUCUCUCCUUCGUUAGAAGCUGGAAAGGGAAGAAGGAAGUGAAGCAGGGGAAAGGAAAUUUUGAUGUAAUUUGGAAAAUAGUGUGGUUUGCUCAUCAUAGUAUCAAGAAGGGCUUUGGAUUUAAUCUACAGAAACCAGAGAAGCAGGACUUGCCUGAGAAACUGUAUCUGAAGAGGUGAGGUGGCGGCUGUGGACCUACAGACCAAGCAGUACUGCCUGACAUUGGUCAGGGUGAGCUCCUCCUGCUACAGCGCAGUGAUGACAGGUGUGGAGAUGAUCUGCACGGCCAGCUCCUAAGUGGGAGCCAGGAAUAAACACGGCUGGAGAAGAGAGGUGUUAGGAAGCAGCUGAGGCAUUGAAAUGCAUCAAAAAAACCCUGAAAAGCAUCACAAAGCCACUGCUAGGAAGCUUGGGGUUAUCAUGAGCAGCAUCCAGGAUGCUAGAGAGUAUUUGCUACCAUCCUAGAUGA
This is a non-coding RNA of Meleagris gallopavo (turkey), 3078 nucleotides long. NCBI's taxonomy places the organism in Eukaryota, Metazoa, Chordata, Aves, Galliformes, Phasianidae. The record is from RefSeq and is a predicted model, not a curated record.